RNAcentral lists this ribosomal RNA (1307 nucleotides) under Staphylococcus pseudintermedius. RNAcentral's name for it is "bacterial SSU rRNA". It matches the Rfam family "Bacterial small subunit ribosomal RNA", at positions 236 to 1533 of the family's 1533-position model. The record is from RNAcentral. Lineage: Bacteria; Bacillati; Bacillota; Bacilli; Caryophanales; Staphylococcaceae.
CCGUAUUAGCUAGUUGGUGGGGUAACGGCCUACCAAGGCGACGAUACGUAGCCGACCUGAGAGGGUGAUCGGCCACACUGGAACUGAGACACGGUCCAGACUCCUACGGGAGGCAGCAGUAGGGAAUCUUCCGCAAUGGGCGAAAGCCUGACGGAGCAACGCCGCGUGAGUGAUGAAGGUCUUCGGAUCGUAAAGCUCUGUUGUUAGGGAAGAACAAAUGUGUAAGUAACUGUGCACAUCUUGACGGUACCUAACCAGAAAGCCACGGCUAACUACGUGCCAGCAGCCGCGGUAAUACGUAGGUGGCAAGCGUUAUCCGGAAUUAUUGGGCGUAAAGCGCGCGUAGGCGGUUUUUUAAGUCUGAUGUGAAAGCCCACGGCUCAACCGUGGAGGGUCAUUGGAAACUGGAAAACUUGAGUGCAGAAGAGGAAAGUGGAAUUCCAUGUGUAGCGGUGAAAUGCGCAGAGAUAUGGAGGAACACCAGUGGCGAAGGCGGCUUUCUGGUCUGCAACUGACGCUGAUGUGCGAAAGCGUGGGGAUCAAACAGGAUUAGAUACCCUGGUAGUCCACGCCGUAAACGAUGAGUGCUAAGUGUUAGGGGGUUUCCGCCCCUUAGUGCUGCAGCUAACGCAUUAAGCACUCCGCCUGGGGAGUACGGUCGCAAGACUGAAACUCAAAGGAAUUGACGGGGACCCGCACAAGCGGUGGAGCAUGUGGUUUAAUUCGAAGCAACGCGAAGAACCUUACCAAAUCUUGACAUCCUUUGACCGCUCUAGAGAUAGAGUUUUCCUCUUCGGAGGACAAAGUGACAGGUGGUGCAUGGUUGUCGUCAGCUCGUGUCGUGAGAUGUUGGGUUAAGUCCCGCAACGAGCGCAACCCUUGAACUUAGUUGCCAUCAUUCAGUUGGGCACUCUAAGUUGACUGCCGGUGACAAACCGGAGGAAGGUGGGGAUGACGUCAAAUCAUCAUGCCCCUUAUGAUUUGGGCUACACACGUGCUACAAUGGACAAUACAAAGGGCAGCGAAACCGCGAGGUCAAGCAAAUCCCAUAAAGUUGUUCUCAGUUCGGAUUGUAGUCUGCAACUCGACUACAUGAAGCUGGAAUCGCUAGUAAUCGUAGAUCAGCAUGCUACGGUGAAUACGUUCCCGGGUCUUGUACACACCGCCCGUCACACCACGAGAGUUUGUAACACCCGAAGCCGGUGGAGUAACCAUUUUGGAGCUAGCCGUCGAAGGUGGGACAAAUGAUUGGGGUGAAGUCGUAACAAGGUAGCCGUAUCGGAAGGUGCGGCUGGAUCACCUCCUUU